GAUGAACGCUGGCGGCGUGCCUAAUACAUGCAAGUCGAACGAAACUUCUUUAUCACCGAGUGCUUGCACUCACCGAUAAAGAGUUGAGUGGCGAACGGGUGAGUAACACGUGGGCAACCUGCCCAAAAGAGGGGGAUAACACUUGGAAACAGGUGCUAAUACCACAUAACCAUAGUUACCGCAUGGUAACUAUGUAAAAGGUGGCUAUACUACCGCUUUUGGAUGGGCCCGCGGCGCAUUAGCUAGUUGGUAGGGUAAAGGCUUACCAAGGCAAUGAUGCGUAGCCGAAUUGAGAGGUUGAUCGGCCACAUUGGGACUGAGACACGGCCCAAACUCCUACGGGAGGCAGCAGUAGGGAAUCUUCCACAAUGGGCGAAAGCCUGAUGGAGCAACGCCGCGUGGGUGAAGAAGGUCUUCGGAUCGUAAAACCCUGUUGUUAGAGAAGAAAGUGCGUGAGAGUAACUGUUCACGUUUCGACGGUAUCUAACCAGAAAGCCACUGCUAACUACGUG
RNAcentral lists this ribosomal RNA (512 nucleotides) under uncultured bacterium. RNAcentral's name for it is "partial 16S ribosomal RNA". It matches the Rfam family "Bacterial small subunit ribosomal RNA", at positions 28 to 507 of the family's 1533-position model. The record is from RNAcentral.